This 5125-nucleotide long non-coding RNA is filed under the name Triticum aestivum (bread wheat). RNAcentral's name for it is "long non-coding RNA (TAES_LNC016306)". The record is from RNAcentral. Lineage: Eukaryota; Viridiplantae; Streptophyta; Magnoliopsida; Poales; Poaceae.
UUCAAAAUGGGUAGGUAUAAUCUUUUCAAAAUGAGCAUGCAUCUUCCCUUUCUGAAUAAUGGCUACAUUAAUUUGUUUACUUGUUAAGCUUUCCCUUGAAUGACUUACUAUUGUUAUGCACUUAUGUUAAAUGAAUUUUUUAUCGAUUUUAUGGUAUCCUACAAUGGUUUACAGAUGGUGUGGCUCCUUACACUAAGAUGAUCGAGCAGAGAUCUAGAGUUCUCAACACAGAUCGAUGACGCCUCCUCGAGAUCCACUUCUUUGCAACCCCCAACCCUGGUAUAGUAUGAAAAAUCUACAAAUAAAUUAGAAGAAUAAGUAAUUAUUGAAUGCUUAUGUUUGUUGGUGUAGUAGUCCUUUUAGGUCCAGUCCUAGAGGAUGUUGCUUUACGCUUCCCUUUAUUUGAGUGACUUUCAUGCUAAAUAAUAUAGUAGAUAGAUCUAAUUAAUACUUCUAAGUGCAUAAUAUUUUGUGAAAACCUUACAUUUUAUAGUGUAGUUGCGUCUUACCUUAUGUGUGGGCCUGUAGGUGUGUGCCUCAUAACUUUUCUGUUUCCUAUAAAUUGUCCUUGUUUUGUUUCUUGUGUUUAGGUUUAGAUUUUUUUUCUUCAACCUACAGGCUCACUCAGGUUUUCCUUCAAUCUUCUACUUCGACCUCUAUAUUUUCAUGUGGAAUGUUCAAGAAAUAUCCAAGAGAAAUACAACUGCACUCAGCUUCAGAACAUGCACUGGAAAAAAUGUGUUGUUUUGGUUUGAAUGAUGACUCUACCUGUCGUAGAAGUGUGUUGUAGACGCGUAUCAGGAAUACAUGGACGUGGAUAUGCAUUAUGGUUGUAUUAUGGACGUGGAUAUGCUCGCCAUAUUAGCUAUAUCUUUUUCAUAUUUUUUUGAGUUUGUUCUCGGGGGUGGGUUGUGGCUGUUUGAUAACGGUCCAAUUUGGUUGUUUUAUGAUCUUGUCAAGAUAUUUCACACCAUACAGAUUAACUAUCACCAGUUUUAGUUAAUGACUCCUGAUAUUUAUCUCCCAAUGGUUAUCCGUCCACAUAGUUGCAUGCAACUACAAGUAUAAACUAAUUUUUUAACUUCCAUUUCUUGAUCAAUUGACAUCGGAAAGUUAGCACUAUUAACGCACUCUUUGUAGAGCACUGCUAAUACACUAAAAUCUAUUUGAAACAUAUUUUAUGGAACACAAAGAUUACUUUUUGAUAUAUGUGAAAUCUAAACUGCUCUACACUAGAAGCACAAAGAAACAUGAAAUGAAAUCCCCACCUUGGAACACGUAAAAACAGAUUUGAUGUUGAUCUAUGAUAUACCCCAUAAACUGCAAAAUUUAGCAUGCUGAUGAUGGAAUAAAGUUUUAAUCAAGGUGUUCUUUUCGAGCAAAAAAACAACAUUUUAUUCUUUUCCCUUGAUUGCAUGCCUCAUUAUUUAAUCACCGAUGAACAUAUGCUGCCUCAUGUUUCAAUCAUAUUUACUUCCUCUUCCAAGGAAUUUAUGGGCAGAUGUGUUCAAAUGCUUUUAUCUUUUGAACAUGUUUUCAUAUGAAUGAGCUGAAGUCAUUUCCCAUAAACUGUGGUGCUUUUACUUUUCAUUAAGGUUGCUCGACCAAUGAUGUUCAGUGAUUGUGUGCACUCCACAUGCAUCGCCUUUGUCGAGUAAGAAAAACAUGUUUUAUUUCUGAUUAUUUUCACAUAAUCUUCUUUCGGUUAUUUGAUUUUCUUUAGGUUUGUCCCCUUACGCUCCUCUUAUUCCCUCAAUAAAGUUUGGCCUUGUGGCAACUCACGGGGACAUACCUCGACAAUAGCUAUUUCAAAAAAGAGGCAAAAGGAGCGCAUGAUAUAUAUCAUUUCAUAUAUCAUGGCAGCAAAAACACAUUGUGGUGGUCGCCCUUAGCUAUGACGAUGUGCAUUCCUUAGCACCGGGCAUUGGCCUGGGAUGUCGUGGAGAGGAGAGGAGGGGGCGGGUGACACCGUGGAGGGAAGGAGAGAUGGCGGUGAGAGGAAGGUACGGGUUGAAUGACGUGGCAUCGAGGGGAGGCAGCAGCAAGAAGCCAUGGCGAGGAGAGAUUGUGGGGAUGAAGCCAUGACGAGGAGAGCAGGCCGGGAAAAUGAGAUGUGAGUGUGAAUGUUUUGCCGUGCAAUAGGAGUCAGAGAUUGAACUGUUUUGUUUAUUUUAAGAUGAGAAGAAAAAGAGCUGUUGUUUGCCUUUUUAGGGAAAAGCGAUUGUUUGUUGUGAGAAAAAGAUCACAUACUUUUUUAUACAGUGAAAAUAACACAUACCCUAGCAAGUUAUUUCCGGAGAAUAAUUACCAAAAACUAAUUACCAAGUGAGCUGCUUACUAAAAUUCAGAUGCGACUUACUCUACUAAAAAGCAGAUGCCACUCCCUCGGACUAAAUAUGUUGUAUAUGGGCUUAUUUUUUUUUAAUUUUAAUAUGUGUUUAUAUAUUCACUUUUGUAGAUUAGAGAUAAGAACUUUGGCUUCAGAUGAUGCUUUGAAACUGCAGUUGACAAAUCUUUAUGAUGGGCGGACUGAAAAUUCAUCGAGUUUUACACAAUUAGAAGAGAUAUAUACAAAUAGUGGUUCUUCUUUAUAUAUUUGUUGCACAUGACAAUAUAGAAGACAUAUUUUCAUAUAUGCUUAUUUUUGCAGAGUAUGAGAGAGAUGAAAAUGUAUGAUGUCGACAUUCAAAAGGAAUACUUAGACAAGGUUUCCAGCAUGGUGUUGUUGGAAGUGGCCUAAAAUUCACCGAGUUAUAUACGUGCAAUCAGAAUAAAAAGUAAAAGGCCCAUUGCAACACACGUGCAAUCAGAAAGAAACAAGAAACCACAUUCACUAAGUUUCUUUCUUCUUUGUGCCUAUUGUGCUAAAACAACAUUAAUGUCAACAAGAGAGUUGCAAAGGAAAAUGGAGCUUUAGAAGAUGUGCAUUAUGCAAGGCAAAAUCUUUGUUUCUGAAACUGUUAUCUCCUCGAGCCUCUUUGACUCAAAGGAGUUUCAAAUGAAUUUCAGAGGAUUGCAGUCCUUACAGUAAAUUUCCUAUAUUGCUUAUUUGAUUUGUGGGAAUCGUUUCAUUGUAACGAUGUAGCAGGAAAGUUUUGUAAGAAUCCAAACAUCCACCAAAAACUUUCUUUUACAAUCCGUUGAAACAAAUAAGUUCAUUUCUUUCUCAGUUCUUUGUUUUGCACAUGCACUUCUCUCUUUUCCCCAUGUUCUUAUUUAUGUGCACUACUCGCAAAAAGCUUGUUUGGCCACAUAUGCAAUCCUAAUACCCUGAUCUUUGUGCUCAACGGACUCUAUUUUCUCAAGAAAAUUCCACUUGACAAAUCACACCAAAACUGUGCUACUCUAGGUAAAGAAUUACUCAAUUGGUGCUCAAUACUUUAUGAGUUCAGUGAACUGUAAGAUAGAGUGACCGUCAUCAUCCGUGAGGCUACAGAGUGGACGGAUUGCACUCCUGCCCUCACUAUUGACUGGAUUAUGAGCCAAAGGAAGGCAAUGAGAUAUGGCCGGCUUCUCCUCAAGCGACACCACAAAAUCGUUACACUAGGGCUAUGUUCGUUGUGUCACAAAGUUAAAAUACCAGAGAAGUUCACUCUGAUAUUAAAUGACUCUUUGUAGAGAUGUUGCGACCACCUGCACGUUGAUGUUGAUGUUUACAUGCGGCUUUUGAGAUUAUUUUCAUUUUUUGCUAGCGUAAUAUUUCCUAACUGGAGUGUUACACAAUGAAAUUCGUUGAUGUUUCUGAUGGAGAGGAUUUGAAGAUGUUGGUUGUUGUUUCUUCAUGAUACACAUUAAAUUUUAGAAAGCAUUAAGCGAAGGCAUGAACCCUAGGUUCUUAAUAUUUUUCACGUUUGACAUUUUAUUGGAUACCAUGUUCCUAGAUUUCUUUGAUCAAUGCCAAUCAUAGUUCAAAAAAGCGCUAGGCGUUAAUUGUGCGUUUUGCCACCGCCUUGCACUUUACUGACCAAAGCGCAUGCUUAUGCGCAGUUAUGCACAGAUUAAGCGUAGUUAUGCGCAAUGCAUUUUGCCAACGCCUAGAGCCUAGGCGCGCUUAAGCGCUCGCUUAGGCGCGCCUUUUUUAACUAUGAUGCCAAUAGAAUGUUUAAUCACUUCUCGUAAUCAGAAUGUAUAGGCUACCUAGAUUCAAAUAGUCUAUUUUGUAUGUUUGUUCAGGGAAGUUGUUCAAGGUGCCCUAUUAUAGCCUUACAGGGCAUCUUUUUAAGACCACGCCUGCUCAUGCUCAAAUAAAGUUGUUUUCAUCCCUAAUUUUUUUACAACGCCUGAUUUUUGUGCCAAAAAUUUGGCAGCUAUUGUUGAUGCUCUAGGAGGGCAGACAGCCCCCUACUGUUGCUCUUGGCUCAGCCGCAAGGAUUCAAGUGAAUGAGGGACCUAAUCGAUGAUGGUGCUUUUCUGAAUCUUGUUUGUUGCAUAUGGGUGGAGAGAUAAUGUUCAUAUAUCUUGCUUCAGUUGAUGCACUGAUUCAUGUACAGUAUGGAGCACCCUGACAUCAUAGGUACCUACUUAUCUCCCACCUCUCUGUUUUUCUUCAGUUGUGAAGGUGUGCCAGUCUACAGUUUCGAGUUCUUCUCUUAUGUUUUGUGGAUCUUCCUAUUUUGAACCUUAACACGUCGUAUGCAUGUGUGCCAAUCUGAAAAUGCUACAUAUUGCAUGCUGCUAAAAUUACCAAAUACUAGGAUGUGUUGAGUACAGUGAAUGGAAGUUAGCAAAAUUAAUUAGUACUAUAAAGUGCAAGUUAUAUAUGUUAUUACAGUUAUAUCUAGCUACUCAACAAACAAUUUCCAAGACUGAUCUGUUCAUGCAUGUGCAGGUGUGCGCUUCACUGAAUGAAUCAUCAUGCAAUAUUCCUACUUCAAUAUAUACUCAAGGCAGCUACUCAUUUAUAUAUAAAAAUUCCCGCGUUGCUUAUUCUCCAUGGUGAUAGCCCAACCUCAUUUAUGAAAUAUUAGGGCCAACAGAGGGCUCUGACAAACUUAUGGAGAUGGUGGUGAUGUCCUCCUCUGGGGAUGGAGGGACGGAUCUAUGGGCAUCAUGAAGAAGCGCUUGGUUCCACAAGAGAACUGAGGUGCUUGUGGCGGGGUGCUCGAGGUGAGGUGAUGGCAGGGCU